This 1372-nucleotide ribosomal RNA is filed under the name uncultured bacterium. RNAcentral's name for it is "bacterial SSU rRNA". It matches the Rfam family "Bacterial small subunit ribosomal RNA", at positions 28 to 1381 of the family's 1533-position model. The record is from RNAcentral.
GAUGAACGCUGGCGGCGUGCCUAAUACAUGCAAGUCGAGCGAACAGACGAGGAGCUUGCUCCUUUGAUGUUAGCGGCGGACGGGUGAGUAACACGUGGGUAACCUACCUAUAAGACUGGGAUAACUUCGGGAAACCGGAGCUAAUACCGGAUAAUAUUUCGAACCGCAUGGUUCGAUAGUGAAAGAUGGCUUUGCUAUCACUUAUAGAUGGACCUGCGCCGUAUUAGCUAGUUGGUAAGGUAACGGCUUACCAAGGCAACGAUACGUAGCCGACCUGAGAGGGUGAUCGGCCACACUGGAACUGAGACACGGUCCAGACUCCUACGGGAGGCAGCAGUAGGGAAUCUUCCGCAAUGGGCGAAAGCCUGACGGAGCAACGCCGCGUGAGUGAUGAAGGUCUUCGGAUCGUAAAACUCUGUUAUUAGGGAAGAACAAACGUGUAAGUAACUGUGCACGUCUUGACGGUACCUAAUCAGAAAGCCACGGCUAACUACGUGCCAGCAGCCGCGGUAAUACGUAGGUGGCAAGCGUUAUCCGGAAUUAUUGGGCGUAAAGCGCGCGUAGGCGGUUUUUUAAGUCUGAUGUGAAAGCCCACGGCUCAACCGUGGAGGGUCAUUGGAAACUGGAAAACUUGAGUGCAGAAGAGGAAAGUGGAAUUCCAUGUGUAGCGGUGAAAUGCGCAGAGAUAUGGAGGAACACCAGUGGCGAAGGCGACUUUCUGGUCUGUAACUGACGCUGAUGUGCGAAAGCGUGGGGAUCAAACAGGAUUAGAUACCCUGGUAGUCCACGCCGUAAACGAUGAGUGCUAAGUGUUAGGGGGUUUCCGCCCCUUAGUGCUGCAGCUAACGCAUUAAGCACUCCGCCUGGGGAGUACGACCGCAAGGUUGAAACUCAAAGGAAUUGACGGGGACCCGCACAAGCGGUGGAGCAUGUGAUUUAAUUCGAAGCAACGCGAAGAACCUUACCAAAUCUUGACAUCCUUUGACCCUUCUAGAGAUAGAAGUUUCCCCUUCGGGGGACAAGGUGACAGGUGGUGCCUGGUUGUCGUCAGCUCGUGUCGUGAGAUGUUGGGUUAAGUCCCGCAACGAGCGCAACCCUUAAGCUUAGUUGCCAUCAUUAAGUUGGGCACUCUAAGUUGACUGCCGGUGACAAACCGGAGGAAGGUGGGGAUGACGUCAAAUCAUCAUGCCCCUUAUGAUUUGGGCUACACACGUGCUACAAUGGACAAUACAAAGGGCAGCGAAACCGCGAGGUCAAGCAAAUCCCAUAAAGUUGUUCUCAGUUCGGAUUGUAGUCUGCAACUCGACUACAUGAAGCUGGAAUCGCUAGUAAUCGUAGAUCAGCAUGCUACGGUGAAUACGUUCCCGGGUCU